This 546-nucleotide long non-coding RNA is filed under the name Malus domestica (apple). Its description in RNAcentral is "long non-coding RNA (MDOM_LNC020259)". The record is from RNAcentral. Lineage: Eukaryota; Viridiplantae; Streptophyta; Magnoliopsida; Rosales; Rosaceae.
UGCCUUGAACCUUUGCCUGGUUGCUUACCUAGCGUUGCUCUCAAGUACUCAUCUUCAACUGUUGACGAAUCUCGAAUUUCCUCAGCAAAUAUUUCAAAACAGUUGAUAUGGUGUUGGCUCUUUACACUGAAGCUGCCAAGCAUGGAUGAGUGGCUGAAAAGUGAUGCUUUGAAGGACCAUUUAAAGGCAAAAGGUUGCGCACCACUUCGGCUAGGCGAAAGAAACAAGCAAAGAAAAACGCAGCAUGAUGAGUUGGAACAAAUCAUUAUGGCAGAACACCCUUCUCGGCAGAACUGCAUAAUCCAGACGGAGGGGUCUAAGUCAAAUCCAAGCCUGCCAUCGUUGCUAUAAUCAAAGAGCUCGAGAAGCUUCAACAAACUUUCGCUGGCACUAUCGCCAAAGAGCAAAGUCUCGAUAAUCCUUAAAGAUCAAGUCACCAACUGGAAGAAGAGCCCAUCAAUCUUGAAGAUCAUACCGUUGACCAAACUGCUCAGGGUUCAUAUGAAAAUGCUGCGAACUUCCUUGAUCUUUCAAAGCAUGCAUGUC